Molecule: microRNA precursor, 112 nt
Filed under: Marmota monax (woodchuck)
Lineage: Eukaryota; Metazoa; Chordata; Mammalia; Rodentia; Sciuridae
Source: RNAcentral
UUGUGGAGAGAGAGAGAGAGAGAGAGAGAGAGAGAGAGCGAGCGAGCGCACAAGCGCCCCGCAUGAGCUCUCUGUCAUCUCUCUCUCUCUCUCUCUCUUUUUUUUUUUUUUU